Molecule: ribosomal RNA, 460 nt
Filed under: uncultured bacterium
Lineage: Bacteria
Description: partial 16S ribosomal RNA
Rfam family: Bacterial small subunit ribosomal RNA
Source: RNAcentral
CCUACGGGAGGUAGCAGUGAGGAAUAUUGGUCAAUGGACGCAAGUCUGAACCAGCCAUGCCGCGUGCAGGAAGACGGCUCUAUGAGUUGUAAACUGCUUUUGUACGAGGGUAAAUCCCGAUACGUGUAUCUGUUUGAAAGUAUCGUACGAAUAAGGAUCGGCUAACUCCGUGCCAGCAGCCGCGGUAAUACGGAGGAUUCAAGCGUUAUCCGGAUUUAUUGGGUUUAAAGGGUGCGUAGGUGGUUAGAUAAGUUAGAGGUGAAAUUCCGGGGCUCAACCCCGGCAGUGCCUUUGAUACUGUCGGGCUAGAGUUUAGUUGAGGUAGGCGGAAUGCAUGGUGUAGCGGUGAAAUGCAUAGAGAUCAUACAGAACACCGAGUGCGAAGGCAGCUUACCAAACUACGACUGACGUUGAGGCACGAAAGUGUGGGGAGCAAACAGGAUUAGAUACCCGAGUAGUC